RNAcentral lists this ribosomal RNA (432 nucleotides) under uncultured bacterium. RNAcentral's name for it is "partial 16S ribosomal RNA". It matches the Rfam family "Bacterial small subunit ribosomal RNA", at positions 29 to 506 of the family's 1533-position model. The record is from RNAcentral.
AACGAACGCUGGCGGCAUGCCUAACACAUGCAAGUCGAACGAUCCCUUCGGGGAUAGUGGCGCACGGGUGCGUAACGCGUGGGAACCUGCCCUUAGGUUCGGAAUAACUCAGAGAAAUUUGAGCUAAUACCGGAUAAUGUCUUCGGGCCAAAGAUUUAUCGCCUUUGGAUGGGCCCGCGUUGGAUUAGCUAGUUGGUGGGGUAAAGGCCUACCAAGGCGACGAUCCAUAGCUGGUCUGAGAGGAUGAUCAGCCACACUGGGACUGAGACACGGCCCAGACUCCUACGGGAGGCAGCAGUGGGGAAUAUUGGACAAUGGGCGAAAGCCUGAUCCAGCAAUGCCGCGUGAGUGAUGAAGGCCAUAGGGUUGUAAAGCUCUUUUACCCGGGAUGAUAAUGACAGUACCGGGAGAAUAAGCCCCGGCUAACUCCGU